GAGUUUGAUCGUGGCUCAGGACGAACGCUGGCGGCGUGCCUAAUACAUGCAAGUCGAGCGAGGGUUUUCGGACCCUAGCGGCGGACGGGUGAGUAACACGUAGGCAACCUGCCUCUCAGACCGGGAUAACAUAGGGAAACUUAUGCUAAUACCGGAUAGGUUUUUGGAUUGCAUGAUCCGAAAAGAAAAGAUGGCUUUUUGCUGUCACUGGGAGAUGGGCCUGCGGCGCAUUAGCUAGUUGGUGGGUAACGG
This 252-nucleotide ribosomal RNA is filed under the name uncultured microorganism. RNAcentral's name for it is "partial 16S ribosomal RNA". It matches the Rfam family "Bacterial small subunit ribosomal RNA", at positions 9 to 263 of the family's 1533-position model. The record is from RNAcentral.